This is a long non-coding RNA of Antechinus flavipes (yellow-footed antechinus), 584 nucleotides long. RefSeq lists it as uncharacterized. NCBI's taxonomy places the organism in Eukaryota, Metazoa, Chordata, Mammalia, Dasyuromorphia, Dasyuridae. The transcript has 4 exons. The record is from RefSeq and is a predicted model, not a curated record.
UGAGAGCGGUCAUUAAGUAAAUGAGACAUCCCCUUUAGCAGGCUUAGGAGUUCACACACUGAGGGGGAGCAGAUAUUUAAUUGAAACCAACAAACAAUCUUGCUCGCAUGUGACUGGUGUAAGCGAAGUGGCUGCCCUCCAACUCCUCCCCCCACCUCCAUCCACCCAGCCCCCCAUGUAAAUUUCAUGAUUGCUUUCCGUGAUGUCAUUUUGAAAGGGGAAAGACAAUAGCUGUGGGGAAAGAAAAUGAGUUCCGGGGUGAGCUGCUGAGUCAAAGGUGGACCCACGGAGAAAAGAUCAGCAGCUGCGAGAGCACAAAAACCAUACCCGGCAAACUGAGCAAGAUGAGCUUAGAAAAUGAUGACAAGAGAGCUCGCACAAGAUCUAAGGCAAUACGAGUGCCCACGGAACUCAUAGGACAGGAGGUGAGGUAAGAGAUGUUCCUUGUUGACCAUCUACUUAUAUUCUGAGGAGGCUGAAGAACAAGCAUCAUUUCAAAUGGUUCUGGUUGCAUUGUUUUCUGCUCUUCUGGGGAAAUUUGGAAAAGUUAUUAACUAAAACAGAGUCACUGACCUAUUAAUCAA